RNAcentral lists this ribosomal RNA (407 nucleotides) under uncultured bacterium. Its description in RNAcentral is "bacterial SSU rRNA". It matches the Rfam family "Bacterial small subunit ribosomal RNA", at positions 356 to 773 of the family's 1533-position model. The record is from RNAcentral.
GGGGAAUAUUGCACAAUGGGCGCAAGCCUGAUGCAGCGACGCCGCGUGGGGGAUGACGGCCUUCGGGUUGUAAACCUCUUUCGUCAGGGAAGAAGCCUUUGGGUGACGGUACCUGGAGAAGAAGCACCGGCUAACUACGUGCCAGCAGCCGCGGUAAUACGUAGGGUGCGAGCGUUGUCCGGAAUUAUUGGGCGUAAAGAGCUUGUAGGCGGUUUGUCGCGUCUGCGGUGAAAACUCACAGCUUAACUGUGGGCGUGCCGUGGGUACGGGCAGACUAGAGUGUGGUAGGGGAGACUGGAAUUCCUGGUGUAGCGGUGAAAUGCGCAGAUAUCAGGAGGAACACCGAUGGCGAAGGCAGGUCUCUGGGCCAUAACUGACGCUGAGAAGCGAAAGCAUGGGGAGCGAAC